CACGUUGACUCUAGGCCCUGCAACCUCUGUUAUGUAUCUCAUCCAUGCUUUUCUACCUCAACUCUGGUAGCUCGGCCACCACAAGCUGGACUACGGCGAUGUUCUAAGCCACGCAACUUCAGCUGCUCCGGCCACCGCACUCCCCCUUCGACGCGGCGGCUGCGUUCGUUUGUUGCUGCAAUCUUCUUCCAUGUGUUUCUGCUUCGGGCGACGCUGCUACAAAGGAACCUCGCUGGCGCCGGAAGAUGCAUCCGGCUGGUGUUGUAAGCCGGGUCGCUAUGAUGCAAGAUUCCGUUGUUGGAAGCCUUGCAGCAACGCCUGGUGCUGUGAGCAUGACGACGGCGCGGACUGCCGGAGAUGCUGAGAUGGUGGCGCAGCUUCUCCGGCAAUGUUACGACGGAUGCUGCGAAUGGCGACCUAGCUGCGAUGGCGGCGAGUCGGCUCCUGCAAACACGACGGCAGGCCGACUGCUCGGCGAUGCUACGACGGUGGUGCGGCUUCUCCGGCGAUGCUGCGAUGGCGACACUGCUGCGAUGGCGGCGAGUCGGCUCUCCGCUGCAGCAACGUCGGCUACUGCAGGCGCGACAACAGUCGGCUGCUCGGCUGCAGCAACGCCGGCUGCUGCGGGCACGACGACGGUGUUUGUUCGUGUUUGUCAGGAUAAAAAUUUGGCAUCCGCAUGUUGCAUAAAAAUUUGGGUUCUUGUCAUUCAUCGUGACUUGGUAGUCUACUUGCCUAGUUCGGGUAUCAAAAUCAACAUAUCACUAUAGCAUAAGUAUGAAAUAAAUGAGACUUUGGAAUCAUUCCACUGAUAUGAUAUUAAGGAGUUCUUGUGUAUGUUCUGGUAGUCUUCUAGCCACGUUGUGUUAACAUUUUAUCCAAAGCUCGUGAAGACUUGGUGGUGUACGUGGAAAGUUCAGGUUUAAGGAUUAAAACGUCGCCAUGGUGUAAUAAUGGAAAACAAUGAGCUUUAUGUGCUACUGAUAAGGUUUUACAGUUUUCUAGCUCAGUCGCCAUGGCAUAAUAAUGGAAAACAAUGAGCUUUCUACAAUGCAUCUGUAUUUUUAUUGUAUGUCCAAUACAGUCUCCCUUUGCGUCUGUACGGAAGGCAUUUUACAGUUGUUUGGUGUUUUUGCAAAGAAGUAUGAAUUGACACAUGGUUUCAAAGUUUCAGACUCAGCCAAGAUUCUUAUGUUGCUUGAUA
Molecule: long non-coding RNA, 1204 nt
Organism: Triticum dicoccoides
Lineage: Eukaryota; Viridiplantae; Streptophyta; Magnoliopsida; Poales; Poaceae
Exons: 3
Source: RefSeq, a predicted model, not a curated record